RNAcentral lists this ribosomal RNA (459 nucleotides) under uncultured bacterium. RNAcentral's name for it is "partial 16S ribosomal RNA". It matches the Rfam family "Bacterial small subunit ribosomal RNA", at positions 338 to 795 of the family's 1533-position model. The record is from RNAcentral.
CCUACGGGUGGCAGCAGUGAGGAAUAUUGGUCAAUGGCCGAAAGGCUGAACCAGCCAAGUCGCGUGAGGGAAGAAUGUCCUAUGAGUUGUAAACCGCUUUUGUCAGAGAGCAAAGUCACACACGUGUAGGUGGUUGAGAGUACCGGAAGAAAAAGCAUCGGCUAACUCCGUGCCAGCAGCCGCGGUAAUACGGAGGAUGCGAGCGUUAUCCGGAUUUAUUGGGUUUAAAGGGUGCGUAGGCGGUUUAUCAAGUCAGAGGUAAAAUCGUGGAGCUCAACUCCAUCCAGCCGUUGAAACUGAUGAUCUUGAGUGUGCGAGCAGUAUGCGGAAUGCGUGGUGUAGCGGUGAAAUGCAUAGAUAUCACGCAGAACUCCGAUUGCGAAGGCAGCAUACCGGAGCCCGACUGACGCUGAAGCACGAAAGCGUGGGUAUCGAACAGGAUUAGAUACCCUUGUAGUC